UACGAAGGGGGCUAGCGUUGUUCGGCAUUACUGGGCGUAAAGCGCACGUAGGCGGAUCGAUCAGUCAGGGGUGAAAUCCCAGGGCUCAACCCUGGAACUGCCUUUGAUACUGUCGAUCUGGAGUAUGGAAGAGGUGAGUGGAAUUCCGAGUGUAGAGGUGAAAUUCGUAGAUAUUCGGAGGAACACCAGUGGCGAAGGCGGCUCACUGGUCCAUUACUGACGCUGAGGUGCGAAAGCGUGGGGAGCAAACAGG
RNAcentral lists this ribosomal RNA (253 nucleotides) under uncultured bacterium. RNAcentral's name for it is "partial 16S ribosomal RNA". It matches the Rfam family "Bacterial small subunit ribosomal RNA", at positions 524 to 776 of the family's 1533-position model. The record is from RNAcentral.